GUUUGAUGUUGUUGAGCGGACCUCAAAGGACAAUAACAAGACACUACAGCGUACCUCGAAUACCACCAGAUGCCUCAACCUAGGCUCCUACAACUACCUUGGCUUUGCUGCAGCAGAUGAGUACUGCACACCACGUGUUAUUGAGUCUCUCAAGAAAUACUCAGCAAGUACCUGCAGUGUUCGUGUCGAUGGCGGUACGACCAAGCUUCACAAUGAGCUGGAGGAGUUGCCUGCGCGUUUUGUUGGAAAGCCUGCUGCUAUCCUAUUUGGCAUGUGUUAUGUUACAAACUCUGCCAUCAUUCCAUGCCUAAUUGGAAAGGUUUGAUCAACUGCUUAUAUGUUAUGUAUACAUUUAACUAAAAAUGUGGCUAAACUGAAGUAAUCAUUAUUAUAUAUAAAUUGAGGGAAUGAUUGUUUAUUUUACCUUUUUGCAACAUUCGAGAGUGGACUGAUAAUUAGUGACUCUCUGAAUCAUAACUUAAUUGUCAAUGGCGCAAGAGGAUCCGAUGCAACUGUUAGGGUUUUCCAGCAUAACUCCCCUGCUCAUUUGGAAGAGGUCCUGAGAGAGCAGAUAGCUGGUGGUCAACCACGGACACACAGACCAUGAAAGAAUAUCAUUGUCAUUGUUGAGGGUAUCUAUAGCAUGGAAGGGGAGCUGUGUAAACUCCCUGAGAUUAUAGAUGUCUCCAAGAAAUACAAGGCCUACACAUAUCUGGAUGAGGCCCAUAGCAUUGGUGCUGUUGGGUAGUCUGGCCGCGGUGUUUGUGAGCUCCUUGGGGUUGACCCAGCUGAUGUAGAUAUAAUGAUGGGUACUUUUACCAAGUCUUUUGGAUCAUGUGGUGGAUAUAUUGCCACAU
Molecule: long non-coding RNA, 857 nt
Organism: Zea mays
Lineage: Eukaryota; Viridiplantae; Streptophyta; Magnoliopsida; Poales; Poaceae
Exons: 5
Source: RefSeq, a predicted model, not a curated record